This 332-nucleotide unclassified non-coding RNA is filed under the name soil metagenome. RNAcentral describes it as "partial contains 5.8S ribosomal RNA, internal transcribed spacer 2, and large subunit ribosomal RNA". The stretch from base 1 to 120 matches the Rfam family "5.8S ribosomal RNA", at positions 35 to 154 of the family's 154-position model. The record is from RNAcentral.
GAUGAAGAACGUAGUGAAAUGCGAUAAGUAGUGUGAAUUGCAGAAUUCAGUGAAUCAUCGAAUCUUUGAACGCACAUUGCGCCCUUUGGUAUUCCUUAGGGCAUGCCUGUUCGAGCGUCAUUUAAACCUUCAAGCUCAGCUUGGUGUUGGGUGACUGUCCGCUUCACCGCGGACUCGCCUCAAAAUUAUUGGCGGCCGGUACAUUGGCUUCGAGCGCAGCAGUAACGCGAACUCGGGCCCGUCGUAUUGGCUCCCAGAAGCUAUCUUCACAAUUUUGACCUCGGAUCAGGUAGGGAUACCCGCUGAACUUAAGCAUAUCAAUAAGCGGAGGA